Molecule: ribosomal RNA, 252 nt
Filed under: uncultured bacterium
Lineage: Bacteria
Description: partial 16S ribosomal RNA
Rfam family: Bacterial small subunit ribosomal RNA
Source: RNAcentral
UACAGAGGGUGCGAGCGUUAAUCGGAAUUACUGGGCGUAAAGCGUGUUCAGGCGGUCUAGCAAGUCGGGCAUGAAAUCUCUCGGCUCAACCGGGAGGGGUUGUCCGAUACUGCUGGGCUUGAGGGCAGCAGAGGGUGGUGGAAUUCCGGGUGUAGUGGUGAAAUGCGUAGAUAUCCGGAGGAACACCAGUGGCGAAGGCGGCCACCUGGGCUGUACCUGACGCUCCAACACGAAAAGCUAGGGGAGCGAACG